Molecule: ribosomal RNA, 497 nt
Filed under: uncultured bacterium
Lineage: Bacteria
Description: partial 16S ribosomal RNA
Rfam family: Bacterial small subunit ribosomal RNA
Source: RNAcentral
GAUGAACGCUGGCGGCGUGCCUAAUACAUGCAAGUCGAGCGAACAGACGAGGAGCUUGCUCCUCUGACGUUAGCGGCGGACGGGUGAGUAACACGUGGAUAACCUACCUAUAAGACUGGGAUAACUUCGGGAAACCGGAGCUAAUACCGGAUAAUAUAUUGAACCGCAUGGUUCAAUAGUGAAAGUCGGUUUUGCUGUCACUUAUAGAUGGAUCCGCGCCGCAUUAGCUAGUUGGUAAGGUAACGGCUUACCAAGGCAACGAUGCGUAGCCGAACUGAGAGGGUGGUAGGCCACACGGGAACUGAGACAGGGACAAGGCGCCUACGGGAGGCAGCAGUAGGGAAUCUGACGCAAUGGGCGAAAGCUUGACGGAGCAACGCGGCGUGAGUGAUGAAGGUCUUCGGAUCGUAAAACUCGGUUAUUAGGGAAGAACAAAUGUGUAAGUAAAUAUGCACGUCGUGACGGUACCUAGUAAGAAAGCAACGGCUAACUACGUG